AUUCUUGCUUGCGGAAUGGAGAUAUUGGCAAGGUGGGACACGCUAUCUUGCUCUUGUAUGGUGUUAGAUUUCAUUUUCGGUUCUUCCUUUCUUUGGACAGGGCAGGUAUAGGUAGCUGCAGCCCAAUAUGGCGACCGGAGUAUGGGCGAGUGGGUGUGUUGAAAAGAGUGGGUGUACGGAAAGUGAAUCAACUAAUUUGCCAGAUUUGUUGCCACUCAGACCGUUUUGCGUUGCCGAUACAGAACCAAUCAGUCGAUAUAAUCGAGAACAAUCAUCAGAAAUCACGCGAUAUGAAUCAGACAGUGGUGGCGCCGCCUGACCCACUAGCUGGUCAGAGGGUUCAAAUCAACGUUUCAUAUCGUAAUUUCCGAGUAAGCAAAAAGCAUCAACCACGGCUGUUAUUACACCCCGUAUACGUUGGUGGCGGUAAUGACCAUUUUUAUUGUGCUGUAACUAAAACUAGAAGACGAUCUUCUGACGUCCUUUCCCUUCGUCAAAGAUGCCAUCAUUUAGAAGAAAAAGAGCCACGCUGGUUUAUAGAGACCUGACUAGAGGCGUGAUAGCACGUACACCCCUGCCAUCAACUUGGAUUGGGAGGACUGGGAGAACAGAGCCGGUUCCCUCAGCAGCAGAAGUUGUGCCCAGCUGCAGUGAUGCACCUCCUCCACCAGCUUACAAAAAAAGGAAGGCAGCUGAUGUUGAGGCCUGGAAGGGGUUGAGCUACUCCACAUCCCUGCAGUGUCUGUCUUAGUCAGCGCAGUUCAUCCCAUGUGUCCCGGUGGGCCUACGAUGGGAGUGGAGGAGACAAGAUGACCAUGACUGUCACAGCCAGUACAACCGUCUUCUGACUGUUGUUGACUUUAGAGGAAGAGCUCAUGACGCCUUUGCUGCAGUUUUGCAGCUGUGAGCUGGAACCUGUCACUCUGAUCCGCCACAGACUCUGGCCUGCCACCCCCCAUCUGCCGCAAACAGCAAUUUCAGUGGACCUCCUGCGCCAGUUUGCAGCCCUGCAGCUGGAGUGUGGGAUGUCUUUGAGGGGGAUUACCUUUCCAUAAAUCCAAUGCAUGCUGGAAGACAGUUGAGCUCUACCGGAAGCUCACAAAUGAGUCAUUUGAGGAGUUCAAACACUGGCAGUUUGAACGAGAGACUGCCAGGAAGUUGGCGCUACUGACCUCGGACGGAACAAAGUGUCCUCUCUGUCCACAGGAAAACAGUCAUCAAACUAUUUCAGCUGAUGCCCUAUUUGGGAUUCCCAGAAAAAGAUUGUCUGGGACCAGCAUUUAGGGUCCAAAACAUGCUUGGCGGUUCUUUUGUGACCAAGACAAAGUCGACUGCUUUGUAGGAGGAGCAUCAGACACACCAACUGAGCCGGGAUGCGCUGCGAUCCAAACCCAAAACUCAGAAACUGGACAUAACUGCUGUUUUUGGGAUGGCGUGCAGGCACGAGCAUCCGCUGAAGUUCCUGAACCUGAAGAGAGGAGAGAAGCUUGCAAAUGCUGUGUUCCUGCUGGGGGACCUGAAAGCAAUGCAGGGACCAAACAUCACAAUGUUUCUUCACUAUGACAUUGCAUGCCAGCUGAAGCCUCAUUUACAGAAAAACAGUCCUGAUCUAAUGGUGGACACCACAUUUGCAGUGCCAGCCUUUCAUGCCUAUGCUCAUGAUGCUGACUGUCAGGUCACUGACGGUACCAGGUAUGUGACUGGUAGUGGGCUUGCUGAAGGAGAACAGAUGGAGAGGUUGUGGUCCUACCUUAGAACAUUUGGGAAGAUCACAAAAGAGAUGACACCAUCUCAUCGUGUUGCCCUCCUCACACCCUCACCGAUCCCCUCCUCUACUGCGCAGCCAGGGUCAGGGAGAAGCAAGCUCCAGCAAUACAACUCCGUCGGCAGAAGGUCCUGAAGGAGGAAACUGAUGCAAAGGACGAGUUGAUGGUGCUACUAAACAGCAUUCCAGUUUGGACCUGUCAGAUAAAGGAGACCCUCACAGACAAGAGGACGUUGUUCCUUACGUGGCAGGAGAGAUACGUGGAAACUCUCGCAGAGCAACAGCGAGUCAUGUCUGACAUGAUGUCCCCGUCAAUCACCGAUGAUAGGAACGCUCAGUUGACUACUCAGCUUGAAAACCUGGAGAAAAGGUUGAAGGCCAUGGAGAAGAGAUACCGGAUUGUACGCUGGUCUCUUCAACACUGUGCAGCAAUUUUGGAAAGUCUGCAGACUAAGAAGACUCACUGUCUGCUGGCCACAAUCCAUAGGCUUGUCCUGGAGUGCUCUUUCUAUUGUGGGUGCCUCUGUGCUGCCCCGAAAUAAAAUGCAGAACACAUUAAAGCUCCAGCAAGCAUUUUCAAUGUUGGCUGGUGAUGGCUCGGUCAGCACAGAUGUAGAGGAGGACAGUGAAUCGGAGGACAGUGAUUCAGAAGACGAAAGUGGUUGAGGAAUGAAUGUCUGUCUGUGUGUGUGUGUGUGAGUUCUAUAGGGACAAACUAUACACUGAGUAUUCCAAACAUUAGGAACACUUUCCUAAUAUUGAGUUGCACCCCCUCCCCCCUUUUGCCCUCAGAACAGCCUCAU
Coregonus clupeaformis (lake whitefish) is the source of this 2568-nucleotide long non-coding RNA. RefSeq lists it as uncharacterized. The record is from RefSeq and is a predicted model, not a curated record. Lineage: Eukaryota; Metazoa; Chordata; Actinopteri; Salmoniformes; Salmonidae. The transcript has 14 exons.